UGGGGAAUCUUAGACAAUGGGGGCAACCCUGAUCUAGCCAUGCCGCGUGAGUGAAGAAGGCCUUAGGGUUGUAAAGCUCUUUCACCUGUGAGGAUGAUGACAGUAGCAGGAUAAGAAGGACCGGCUAACUCCGUGCCAGCAGCCGCGGUAAGACGGAGGGUCCUAGCGUUGUUCGGAAUGACUGGGCGUAAAGGGUACGUAGGCGGUUUGGUCAGUUAGAUGUGAAAGCCCAGGGCUUAACCUUGGAAUUGCAUUUAAUACUGCCAGACUUGAGAUCGGAAGAGGAAAGCGGAAUUUCUAGUGUAGAGGUGAAAUUCGUAGAUAUUAGAAGGAACAUCAGAGGCGAAGGCGGCUUUCUGGUCCGAUACUGACGCUGAGGUACGAAAGCGUGGGGAGCAAACAGG
This 404-nucleotide ribosomal RNA is filed under the name uncultured bacterium. RNAcentral's name for it is "bacterial SSU rRNA". It matches the Rfam family "Bacterial small subunit ribosomal RNA", at positions 355 to 776 of the family's 1533-position model. The record is from RNAcentral.